This 233-nucleotide unclassified non-coding RNA is filed under the name plant metagenome. RNAcentral describes it as "partial contains small subunit ribosomal RNA, internal transcribed spacer 1, and 5.8S ribosomal RNA". The record is from RNAcentral.
UAUCCGUAGGUGAACCUGCGGAAGGAUCAUUACUGAGUGAGGGCCCUCUGGGUCCAACCUCCCACCCGUGUUUAUUAUACCUUGUUGCUUCGGUGAGCCCGCCUCACGGCCGCCGGGGGGCAUCUGCCCCCGGGCCCGCGCCCACCGAAGACACCUAGAACUCUGUAUGAAGAUUGCAGUCUGAGCAAAAACUAAAUAAGUUAAAACUUUCAACAACGGAUCUCUUGGUUCCG